Myodes glareolus (Bank vole) is the source of this 883-nucleotide non-coding RNA. Lineage: Eukaryota; Metazoa; Chordata; Mammalia; Rodentia; Cricetidae. The record is from RefSeq and is a predicted model, not a curated record.
AAACAUCCAACCUCCUGCGCUUGUUCUGGGCGGGCAACAGCUACCGGCUCAGAGUCUCUGCAGGUCAGACGGCCACUCGCCACCCAGGGGGAGACCCAGGAGAACCAAGGUCUCUGAUGAUUCUCAGAAGCUCGCUCAGUCAAACCCUUGGGGCCCACAGGAAUAGCUGGCCUCAUCAGUGGCUUGUGAAACGACACCAUUCCUGGCAUUGCAGGAAGAGUGGCUCAUGCACCUCACUCUGUUAAAGAGGCUUCCCGCACUUACUUGCCCAUCUAAGGAGGACAGUACGCUGGAGCAGGUACUGAAGGCACCGGAAGUCACCAUUUUUUUUUGUUUUUUUUGUUUUUUCUUAUUUAUUUAUUUAAAGAAUUUCCGCUUCCUCCCCUCCUCCCAAUACCCUCCUGAAGUCACCAUAUUUUUUUUUAUUUUUGAUCAGAGAAUGUUAGGGGAAAUUCUAGAGACAAAGUUGGUUGGAGAUGUAGGGCCCAGCAAAGACAUGCUCAAUAGAAGCCAGAGUUUCAGAUUACCCUAAGGCAAUACCUGGUUCCAAGAAAGACCACAAACUGAGACCACCCAGGCACCACCUAGGAAUGGGUCAGCCAAGGGGAAAGUACCUAAGGUUCCAAAGAAAAUUCCUAAAGUUCCAACUGUUGUAGAUAGCAUCACCUCACCUGAUGUCCCUUAGCCUGGCACACACCCAUCCCUUUUCACCAAGGCACCCCUAGACAAAUGUCAGUCAAUCAGGGGUCCUGAACCUUAGAAAUCCCUCACCCCAACCUCUGCUAAUGAUAAAACCCCCAACCUCCACUGAGCUUGAGGCUCUAAUUGUGUUGGACACAAGAAGAGUUCAAGUUUGAACUUGAAUAAAGGCCCUUUGCUUUUA